RNAcentral lists this long non-coding RNA (3005 nucleotides) under Nicotiana tabacum (common tobacco). RNAcentral's name for it is "long non-coding RNA (NTAB_LNC009706)". Lineage: Eukaryota; Viridiplantae; Streptophyta; Magnoliopsida; Solanales; Solanaceae. The record is from RNAcentral.
UCCAAACACAUUCAAAAAAGUCAGUACUCAUAUAAACAUCAUAGUUGAUUACAAAGGAUUAGAGUAUCACAUUACCAAAAACUAUACCAAUUCAAAUUGUAUGACAUUAUUUUUUUCAACUCUUAAAUGAGAGAAAAUAGAACUAUAGCAUAUACAAACAACAUCUUUAAAAAAUCCCUCGCAAAACAAAGUGGGUUCCUCUUGCACUUCAACUUGUUCUUUAAUAUUUUUCAUCAGUUUCAACUCGCUCUACACUAUCUUCAAGAAAGCCAUAUCUUCAAAUUCUUGAUCUGAUAAAAUGAAAAGUGUAUGUUACUGCAUUACAUCAGCAAUUAGGAAAAAAGAUUAAAAACUUGAUGCAUCAAUUGCUUGUGGAAGUUUUGACAUUUCAUGAAACUUUAAUCAUGCAGAAACACACAAGAAUGCAGAGUAUUGUGCAGAAAUGCAGAAUGAUGCGUAGAAAUGCAGAAUGCUGUGUAGAGAUGAAGAACGCUUUACAAAAAUGCAGAAAACUGUGCAAAAAUACAAAAUACGAAAAUGAUGUCCAGAAUUCAAUAACACUGUAGAAAUGACGAAUGCUAUCUACAAAUGCAGAACGUUGUCUAGAAAGGCAGAACGCUGCCUAGAACUGCGGUAAUACUAGAAAUACAAUUCCAAGUUUGUUAAAAAUCUUACAAUUCCAAGUUUGUUAAAAAUCUAUCUUAAUUUUUUCAUGUUCACAUCAUUGUAGUAUAUACAAUAUCUAAAGUGGGGUAGAGGAGAAAAAGAUAAAGAUAAGCCUAAUGUUCAUGAGAUCUAUAUGAAGAUUACAUACAAUGUAAUUACAAAUAUUAAUCAUAGGUGGAGGUUGACUUGAGUCUCACAUAAGUAGGGCUAUCCUUCUCAAUUUCACUUGAGUGAAUUAGGAAUUACCAUUGAUAAUCUACCACAAAUGAAAUUUACUUUAGGAAGAAAAAACUUCAGUAGUAAGAGUAUGGAAGCUUUUUCUCUUUUGGGGAACCAUAUCUCACAGAUAAGAUAUCAAUGACAAAAUUCUUUCCCUUUCUUUUUGCUGAGAAUGGUAACAUUUGGACAAAAUUCUUUCCCUUUGUACCAUAAGAUCCUCUUCCAUUCCUUUUUUUAGCUUAUAAUAUUUGUAGUUCUGAGAUUGACUGGAGUUGGAAUCUAAUUUAUAAAUUUAGAAUGGAGUAACCAUGUAAAGUUAAUAGGAGUAAUAUUAGAUGGAAGAUCAUCAAAAAUAUGAUCACGGACCUAAAUAGUCAGAGAUAGGAAAGAAAUAGUCGAGUGCAAGUGAUAAAGGGACAACUUAUAGUUGGAAAUCUUAAUAUAAUAUCACUUCAUGCAUGUCAUUAAUAGGAAAAGCUACAGAAAAAAGACUUCAAAUGUAACCCAUGGAUAAGGAUUCAUGUUAGUAUCUUUCACUUUGGAUUGCUAAUUUAAAAAGCCUAUCAACUAUACCUAAUAUAAUGCAAGCAUUUAAUAUUCUUGAACUAAUAGUGAAACAGAAGAGAAAUGACAUACUUGAAAUGGUAUUUAUCCUCACAAACAACAAUCACGAAGUAAUAAUGGUGAACCAAUGUCUGCAUGAACAACAACUACUACCUCCUGGGAUUGCUGAGCAUCGACUUCAAAGAAAUUCAAGCAACUUGUGCUUCUAGGGAAUGUCGAGCAACUUCUGCCUUCUUCACCUUCUCUUUCCUGAUAUGAGUUGAUUGUAAGACUCAAUUCAAAUAAAUUGUUGAACAAGUGAAGCAAUAAAAGAACAAAAAAUAAACAAUCAUCUCCAAGAACUCACCAACAAAAAAAUAAUAAUUUCCUUUUAAGGAGAGAAAAAGAAAACAUAUUGAGAGAGGUAGAAUAAAAGUGUUGUUAUACCGAAUUAUUAUUCUGAGAUUUUUAUCAAUAAGUAAGACAUGAAGAUGUGAUUUACUUCAUAUAUACAAGUGCACAAUUCUAGAGGAGGUAAUUUAUUGCCAGGGAAGUAUUGUGAAACAUGUAACUGCUUUACUUGUUGCUUGUUACUCGAAACAUGUGAUAUUCAAUUGAUAUAUUUAUUGCAAGCUGUAUCAACAGAAACUAAUGUUCUUAUUAUGCGUUUAGCAAGUUAAAAAAAUAAGAUGCUAAAAGAUCACGUCUUUAAGAAAAUCUUAGAUAUAGUCCCUUCCUACUUAAACCAAUAUCAUUCUUUUCCUUGAGGAUCUUCAACAGAGUAAGCAAUGUCCAAGAAACAUUAAGCACCAUUAAUAUACUCUUUGCUAUACCUAGUUAAAUCCAUCCAACACUUGGACAUAUCAUCUUGAAGUAAAGACAAGAACUUUAUAGAAUUGUAAAGUCCCAUGUAUUUCAGUUCAUCCAACUAGUGAUAAUUCUUUAAAAAACCAUUAUGUCUUCAUGGUUAUAUCUUUAGCCAUAACUGCAACGAAAAGCACAUAGAUAAAGAGCAAUAUAUAGAAAAAUCAUACAAGACAAGAAAAAAGAGAUUACAACUUCCUAUAUUUGUACCUAUUUCUCCCUUCACCUCAUGUACCAAAUGAAGAUCCAUACUUAGGUCAACAAAACAACAAAAAUUGCAGAAAAUUACAACUCUGGGCAGGUUUAAUCCAGCAUAACUAGACUAUGAUAAAAGAUAGUAUUGGGAAACAUUAUAUUUUAAGAAGUAAUCCAAAAUACUUGAUAAACACAAAGAAAAGAAGACCAAUACCAUCAAACCGAGAGACCAUUGGACAAUGAAAAGAAUACCCAAUUCCACUCAAUAGUUACAACAGCAGGUUUAGCGAUUUGGCAUAAACUUACGUUGAUGAGAAGGAAAUUCUUAGGCGAGCAGUCGAUGUUAACGGAGGAGACGGGCAGUAUUUUUACUUCGAAGAAGUGUACUCCAAGAUGGGCAACCGGAGGAGACGGUGGUGGUGACCAGUUUUCUUCAUUCUUCCGAUUGAAACAAGCGUUUUUUUAUCCAAGCUUAAGGGUUUUUUUUGGGGGGGGGGGAGUUGUAGGGUUGGGUUUGG